Oncorhynchus keta (chum salmon) is the source of this 1584-nucleotide long non-coding RNA. RefSeq lists it as uncharacterized. The transcript is spliced from 4 exons. The record is from RefSeq and is a predicted model, not a curated record. NCBI's taxonomy places the organism in Eukaryota, Metazoa, Chordata, Actinopteri, Salmoniformes, Salmonidae.
CCCCAGGAUAGAUACUGGACCCCAGGAUAGAUACUGGACUACAGAUAGCUGUGUUAGUACCAGUCCUACUGGACCCCAGGAUAGAUACUGGACCCCAGGAUAGAUACUGGACCCCAGGAUAGAUACUGGACCCCAGGAUAGAUACUGGACCCCAGGAUAGAUACUGGACCCCAGGAUAGAUACUGGACCCCAGGAUAGAUACUGGACCCCAGGAUAGAUACUGGACCCCAGGAUAGAUACUGGACUACAGAUAGCUGUGUUAGUACCAGUCCUACUGGACCCCAGGAUAGAUACUGGACCCCAGGAUAGAUACUGGACCCCAGGAUAGAUACUGGACCCCAGGAUAGAUACUGGACCCCAGGAUAGAUACUGGACCCCAGGAUAGAUACUGGACCCCAGGAUAGAUACUGGACCCCAGGAUAGAUACUGGACCCCAGGAUAGAUACUGGACCCCAGGAUAGAUACUGGACUACAGAUAGCUGUGUUAGUACCAGUCCUACUGGACCCCAGGAUAGAUACUGGACCCCAGGAUAGAUACUGGACCCCAGGAUAGAUACUGGACUACAGAUAGCUGUGUUAGUACCAGUCCUACUGGACCCCAGGAUAGAUACUGGACCCCAGGAUAGAUACUGGACCCCAGGAUAGAUACUGGACCCCAGGAUAGAUACUGGACCCCAGGAUAGAUACUGGACCCCAGGAUAGAUACUGGACCCCAGGAUAGAUACUGGACCCCAGGAUAGGUACUGGACCCCAGGAUAGGUACUGGACCCCAGGAUAGAUACUGGACCCCAGGAUAGAUACUGGACCCCAGGAUAGAUACUGGACCCCAGGAUAGAUACUGGACCCCAGGAUAGAUACUGGACCCCAGGGUAGGUACUGGACCCCAGGAUAGAUACUGGACUACAGAUAGCUGUGUUAGUACCAGUCCUACUGGACCCCAGGAUAGAUACUGGACCCCAGGAUAGAUACUGGACGCCAGGAUAGAUACUGGACCCCAGGGUAGAUACUGGACCCCAGGGUAGAUACUGGACCCCAGGAUAGAUACUGGACCCCAGGAUAGAUACUGGACCCCAGGGUAGAUACUGGACCCCAGGAUAGAUACUGGACCCCAGGAUAGAUACUGGACCCCAGGAUAGGUACUGGACUACAGAUAGUUGUGUUAGUACCAGUCCUACUGGACCCCAGGAUAGAUACUGGACCCCAGGAUAGGUACUGGACUACAGAUAGUUGUGUUAGUACCAGUCCUACUGGACCCCAGGACAGAUACUGAACCCCAGGAUAGAUACUGGACCCCAGGAUAGGUACUGGACUACAGAUAGUUGUGUUAUUACCAGUCCUACUGGACCCCAGGAUAGAUACUGAACCCCAGGAUAGAUACUGGACUACAGAUAGUUGUGUUAGUACCAGUCCUACUGGACCCGGGAUAGAUACUGGACCACAGCUAUGCAGUAAGUCAGGUCUAUAGAUCCACACCACAGCUAUGCAGUUAGUCAGGUCUAUAGAUCCACAGCUAUGCAGUAAGUCAGAUCUAUAGAUCCACACCACAGCUAUACAGGAAGUCAGGUCUAUAGAUCCACACCACAG